GCUCCUCUCUAUGGUCCCUGUGCAUCUUCUCUAUGGCCUUUCUCUGGGGACUCUAUGGUUUCUAUUGGGUCCUCCAUGUGGCUCCUCUCUCUGACGUUUCUCUGGGGACUCUAUGGUUUCUAUGGGAUUCUUUCUAUGGCUUCUAUGGGUCCUCCCUAUGGGUCCUUUCUGGCCUUUCUCUGCGGACUCUAUGGUUUUCAUGGAGGUCCUCCUUGUGGAUCCUCUCUAUGAUCCUCUGUGGUCCCUGUGGGUUCUCUCUAUGGCAUCUCUCUGGGGACUCUAUGGUUUCUGUGUGGUUCUCUCUCUGGUUUUCUCUGUGGUUUCUAUUGAGUCCUCCCUCUGGGUUCUCUCUGGUCUUUCUCUGGGGACUCUAUGGUUUUCAUGGGGGUCCUCCCAGUGGCUCCUCUCUCUGAUCCCCGUGGGUUCUCUCUAUCACAUUUCUCUGGGGACUCUAUGGUUUCUAUGGGGUUCUCUCUAUGGCUUCUAUGGGUCCUCCCUAUGGGUCCUCUCUGGCCUCUCUCUGCAGACUCUAUGGUUUUUCUGGGGGGUCCUCCCUGUGGCUCCUCUCUAUGGUCCCUGUGGUCCUCCCUGUGGCCUUUCUAUGGGGACUCUAUGGUUUUCUGGGGGUCCUCCCUAUGUGUCCUCUCUGUCCUCUCUCUGCAGACUCUAUGGUUUUUCUGGGGGUCUUCCCUAUGGGUCCUCUCUGUCUUCUCUCUGCAGUCUCUAUGGUUUUUCUGGGGGUCCUCCCUGCGACUCCUCUCUAUGCUCCUCAAUGAUUUCUAUGGGGUUUUCCAAUGCCUCCUCUCUAUGGUCCUCCCGCGCCGUCUCUAUGGUUUCCCGGUGGUGGGAAGGGGGGGGGGUCUCUAUGGUAUCUUUAAGCCCCGCCCCCCUCGCCGACGCCCCCCACCCACUUCCUCCCCUUUGCCGUAAGCCCCGCCCCUUCCGGUGGCGCAGAG
Molecule: long non-coding RNA, 956 nt
Filed under: Numida meleagris (helmeted guineafowl)
Lineage: Eukaryota; Metazoa; Chordata; Aves; Galliformes; Numididae
Description: lncRNA (ENSNMEG00000002975.1)
Source: RNAcentral